GUGACUAUCUUGUCGGGAUUUUGUCAUUGUCGUGAUUAUAUUUUGCUCUUUAUGACUAGAAAUUACCGGUAAAUACCCCCCCGACCGCGUCACGUUCCGUAUGCAUUCAUUUGUAUCAUUCGGGACAUAUUGUACUAUCAUGUCCCGGUCCAUGGGUGGAGGAUGAAGCUAAAAAAGCCCCGAGAGUUUCUUCUUAAAGCAGUUGUCAUAGAAAUCAAAGACGACAGACACACGGCAUUGCUAGAUCAUAAUUCAGUGCACAAUCUCGUUGAAAAAAAAAAAAUGAGUUUUGAGUCAAGUGAAGCAGAUUUGAGUGAAUUCUUCAAGGCCCCACCCUUUGCAGUUCAAGAUGGAGGUGGGGAGUUGCCCCUCCUCCACCUCCUCAGUCAUUUAUUUCCCCCUUUCAAGCUUGUCUUUUGCUGACCCCGCUCCCUCCUCAAGCCCCCCCCCACCCUCAUCUUUCAUCUUUCCAGGUGCCCCCCCCCCCUACAUACACUUGCUAAAGGCCAUUUUGAUUUGCGCAACGGCAAGAACCAGGAUUUACUUCCAGGAGUCUGCAAGGUGAUGGCUGACAGAGAUGAAUCUACUUUCUGCCGCUUCACACCUUCAGCAGAACGCUCCGUUCCGCAGUUUGAAGUCCAGCCCGGCCGACCUUUUGGGGCCGGGGAACCGUCUCGGGACUGCAGAAAUGGGGAGUUCCUCCGUGCGGCAAUCGCGCAGCCGUGGGUCGUGAGUCAAACCCAGCACGACCACGUUGUUGUCUGCUUCUCGUUUCAUGACCUCAUCGAGGCAGAAACCGACCUGUUUUGGUAUGCACACCUAUACGCAUGUGCGCAUAUUUCUGCAUUCCUGGCUCCAGAUGCGCAGCAUUAAGACCUGAAAGGGUCAUUUCCGUUUUCCCACCUGCUGACUUCCUGCCAGCUAACGUCAUCUCUUCCGAAAGUGAAUUCCAUCUAGCACUUGUAGGUAAUAAAAACUAACAGUGUCUCCCA
Long non-coding RNA from Syngnathoides biaculeatus (alligator pipefish), 992 nucleotides. RefSeq lists it as uncharacterized. The transcript has 3 exons. Lineage: Eukaryota; Metazoa; Chordata; Actinopteri; Syngnathiformes; Syngnathidae. The record is from RefSeq and is a predicted model, not a curated record.